UCCUACGGGAGGCAGCAGUGGGGAAUAUUGCACAAUGGGGGAAACCCUGAUGCAGCGACGCCGCGUGAGUGAUGAAGUAUUUCGGUAUGUAAAGCUCUAUCAGCAGGGAAGAUAAUGACGGUACCUGACUAAGAAGCCCCGGCUAACUACGUGCCAGCAGCCGCGGUAAUACGUAGGGGGCAAGCGUUAUCCGGAUUUACUGGGUGUAAAGGGAGCGCAGACGGUGGAUUAAGUCUGAAGUGAAAACCCUCGGCUCAACUGAGGGAUUGCUUUGGAAACUGGCUCACUUGAGUGCUGGAGAGGUAAGCGGAAUUCCUGGUGUAGCGGUGAAAUGCGUAGAUAUCAGGAAGAACACCGGUGGCGAAGGCGGCUUACUGGACAGUAACUGACGUUGAGGCUCGAAAGCGUGGGGAGCAAACAGGAUUAGAUACCCUGGUAGUCC
Molecule: ribosomal RNA, 442 nt
Filed under: uncultured bacterium
Lineage: Bacteria
Description: bacterial SSU rRNA
Rfam family: Bacterial small subunit ribosomal RNA
Source: RNAcentral